Molecule: non-coding RNA, 3202 nt
Organism: Cherax quadricarinatus
Lineage: Eukaryota; Metazoa; Arthropoda; Malacostraca; Decapoda; Parastacidae
Source: RefSeq, a predicted model, not a curated record
AUGGAGCAAACACUAAGUGACAUUAAACAAAAUGCCCAGAAGUUGCACAAAUCAGGACGAUUUAAAGAGGCUGAAGAUUUAUUCUCUGAAGUCUUGAGGCUGAGGGUCCGGGGGCCUCGCCCCCAACACAUACCACUGAGUUUUGUAUUACAGUAUCUAACAGUUAAUGAUAUUAAAUUCAAUUAAUCUCUUUAUAGGAAGGAGCAAAUAGCAUUGGUUCAAUGACAGAGGCCAGUGCAGGUACAUGCAAGUGAAACUUUGAUGAGGCUGUCACAGACUAUACUGAGGCCAUAAAGCUGGACCCUACACUGGCAGUUGCUUACUACAAUAGAGGAACAAUUUAUUAUAGACUAUGUGCUGGAAUGCCUCAGGAGACUGGUGAGAUGCAAAGUUACCUUCAGAAAGCAUUAGAUGAUCUAGAAGAAGCUCUUAAAUUGGCACCAGAUAAUCUUGAGUUCUUAGAGGGUUUAAAAAACUGCAAGGCUAUACUACUUACAAAAGAUAAAAUCAAGGUAUUGAAACUCAAAACUACUCCACUUGGAAAAUUAGCUAAAUUACUAUUUCUUUUAGACAAUGGUGACAGAGCACAGGAGCAACAGAAGAGUUUCAGGAGCAAAACACAGAAGCUGCACAGGAAGCAAAAAAUGUUUUCCUGUCCAUUCUGAAAGACAAAGAAAAGGGUCAUCAUCAGAUUAUUAAUAUUUUGCUGAAACGUGGUGAGCAGUGCAGAGAUUAUCCCACACUGGCUCUUCCAAGUGGUACAGCAUCUUCGAGUAGAGGUUUAAGAAAGGCAGAUGAGGAUCUUCUUACCUUGACACAGGCCUGUCAUUACUUGGGAAUUGAAUACCAGUGUCUAGACGAGAAACUAAAGAAGGUUCAAGAUAAAGCAUUGCUUACUCAAGAUGAAAGAAAUGGUACAUUUUUUAUAUAUGCAGAAAAUUUGUUUAUGAUUCACAUGUGUGAUAGUUUGACACCUACACUUGUUUUUAAAUUGUUAAAUAUAAUGAAAACUAACAAAAGUUUUUCUAGUGGCAUUGACAAGGACUUACUUGCCAGCAUUACAAUAGACCAACUGACACAUGAAGGACUGAAAGAAGCACUGUUCUUCUUCAUAAUUAGGUUGAUGGAAGACGGUAAUAUGCUGAACCGUUUGUACACAGAUAAACUGAAAGACGCUUUCAAAGAACUUAAUCAAAACAGCACCAAGGAAGAGAAACAGAUAAUCACCAGUUUGUUAUACAAGCUAAGAAACUAUCCAGGAGAAUGCCAUCCUUCUGGAUUAUGCAUUGUCUUUUGUGUUAGUGAAAACAGAGAAGGAGCUAGCAGUGAAAUAGCCAAGAUAAAAAAAUUAUUUGAAAAUAUUCUUGGUUUCACAGUCAAAAUUGAGGAAAAUCCUAGUGUGAAGACCAUUGAAUCUUACGAAUUAGAACUACAGAAGCCAAAGUAUCGUUAUUAUGACUCCAUUGUGUACUGGUUUGUUAGUCAUGGCAAUGAAACUGAACUAAAACUUCCUAAUGAUGAGAUAUACUUAAGGGAAGAAUUUAUUGAUAAUUUUUCAAAGCCAGCCAACUUCAUCAAAAAACCUAAAAUUUUCUUCAUGGCAGCUUGCCGAGGAGAAAAGACCAUUCCUGUAGUUAAAAAAGGUGGCCGUCCAUCAAGUGCAGAUGCAAAACAUCGCGCAAAUAUAAAAAUUCCAGACUCUUCUCUGGACAUUGAGAAUGUCCACUAUGAGGUUGACCGUCUUGUUGUUAAUGCAACUCUUCCUACAAGAUAUUCCUUUCGAAGCAAAGAUGAAGGUUCAGUGUUUGUGGAUGUUGUAUGCUCUCUUCUGGAAGAAUAUUGUGGAGAAAACAUCACUGAAGCACUAGUAGAAGCAUCCCGGAUAAUACACCAGAUUAUUUUUAAAAGUAAUGAUAAUUCAUUUGAAGGGUUUUCCAAACAAGCAUGUUCCUAUGAUAGCACACUCCAAAAAACUUUUAUUAUUCCAGUGGGUAAAAAGAAACAGUAAUUAGAUAAACUUACAAAACUUUUUAAUUUGUAUGUAUUAAAUUUUGUGAUUAUGCUUGUAGUUCAAGUUUUUCUAAAAGUGUUAAAAGCCAUGAAGUAUUCUAUAUUUUGCAGUAUUGUUUUUAUGUAGUAAGGCCUAUUAUGAAAAAUAUGUUCUUUAUUGAGGAAUGGAGAAAAAGCAUAAUAAAUAAAUGCAGGUACAGUAACGACUUUUAUACGACAUUAGUAAAUUUAUUUUAUAAGCCUUUUAAACUUCACACUGCAUUGGGCCUAUGAAGAUCCGAGUACAGUUGACCAUCACCUCUGUCCUUGAACUGAGAAUAUAUUGAUAUCACAGAUAGGACUGAUGGACAAUUGAUCUGAUAUUUUAUCCAUGAUGCCUGUGUGAUGUUUAGAUUUCUGUUAUAUAGUUGGUUGAGCAGUAAUUGAGACUAUCUACAUAAAAAUUUAUAUACUAAGGUUAGCAUAGUCUUGGACUUGCAAGUACAAGGUUACCAUUUCAAUAUCCAGUAUUAUUUGCACAAUUUAUAUAAUAAGGUAUUCUAUUGUACUUAGUAAUUAAUUCUAAUUUCUUACUGUGAGUUAGUGGGCCUUCAUUCAAAAUAUAAUAUAUCAGUCUAAGGAAACAGGACAACAGUGAAAAAAUAAAAGAAUAUAUUAUUGUGGUAAACAGUUGGAAGAGUUGAUAUGUGUGGUUCCUUGAGUUACAAUGAUCUUGAGUAAUGAUAAUUUUGAGUUACAAUUUACCCUCAUAAAGGAACCAAGUUUUGAGUUGCGAUGAAAAAUUUGAGAUAUGUGUACAGUGGUCAUUGCAGCAAGGCCUGGAUGAUAAGACAAUUCUUCAGUGUUUUGUCUGUCAGUCAAGAGCUACCUUCAGAUCAACGAACUUCCUCUAAAGGCACUGUUACAUGACAUGAUUCACAACUUGCUCAAUCUCUAGAGGCAGAAUUGAGCUUUGUUACAGUUAAAUUCUUCCUACCCAGUGCAACUUCUCUGCUUCAGCCUGUGGACCAGCAAGUGAUUUCAAAUUUUGAGAAGAUUUACACCAAGAUAUUUGCUAAGUGCUUUCAGAGACUUCAGGAAAUGGAGUCAUCAGCCUCAAGAAAUUCUGGAAAACUAAGUUCAAUAUCUUAAGAUUAUGUGAGGCUCAUAGUGAAUUCCUAGAAUGAAGUUUCCACUCGGUGCCUCAGUGCAG